UUUGUUUGUGUGUCUGCAUUUUACUGAGAAGAACAAAAGAGUGAAUAUGGUUUUUAAAAAUUAUUUCUUACACUUUGAAAUAUCAAAGUUGUUGUUGUUUAUUUACUUAUUCUACUUUUCAAUCAAUUCUUAGGUCAUUCUAUUUUUAAUUCAUUUGUAUGUCAUUUACUUAUUCUACUUUUUAAUGCAUUUUAUGUCAUUUUACUUAUUCUAUUUUUA
Molecule: long non-coding RNA, 219 nt
Filed under: Lathyrus oleraceus (garden pea)
Lineage: Eukaryota; Viridiplantae; Streptophyta; Magnoliopsida; Fabales; Fabaceae
Description: Pisum sativum (pea) long non-coding RNA (PSAT_LNC002527)
Source: RNAcentral